This 399-nucleotide ribosomal RNA is filed under the name uncultured bacterium. Its description in RNAcentral is "partial 16S ribosomal RNA". It matches the Rfam family "Bacterial small subunit ribosomal RNA", at positions 360 to 774 of the family's 1533-position model. The record is from RNAcentral.
AAUAUUUCACAAUGGAGGGAACUCUGCUGCAGCAACGCCGCGCGAGUGAAGAAGGUUUUCGGAUCGUAAAACUCUGUCAUUGGGGAAGAAUAAAUGACGGUACCCAAUGAGGACGCUCCGGCUAACUACGUCCCAGCAGCCGCGGUAACACGUAGGGGGCGAGCGUUGUCCGGAAUUACUGGGCGUAAAGGGUACGUAGGCGGCAAUAUAAGUCAGGUGUGAAAUACCAGUGCUUAACACUGGAAUUGCAUUUGAAACUGUGUAGCUUGAGUGCAGGAGAGGAAAGUGGAAUUCCUAGUGUAGCGGUGAAAUGCGUAGAGAUUAGGAGGAACACCAGUGGCGAAGGCGACUUUCCGGACUGUAACUGACGCUGAGGUACGAAAGCGUGGGUAGCGAACA